AUGGAGAUCGAUCAAUUCAAUAGUUCCGGUGACUUGUACAUGGUCGACGGCGCGUCAUCCUCCUCAUCUCAUGCCAUGCUUGCUUCUGUCAGCUUAUGGCACCAUCGGCUCAAUCACCCCCACAGUGGCAUGACGACCACUCUCCUUCACGAAUUCCAGCUUCCAUAUGAUCAUGAUAGCCAUGAUACGUCUCUAUGUCAUGCGUGUCAACUGGGCAAGCAUGUGCGCCUGCCCUUUGGCACGUCUUCUACCCGUAGCUCUUUUCCUUUUGAGUUGUUACAUUGUGAUUUGUGGACAUCACCUGCCCCUAGUGUGUCUGGUUUUAAGUAUUAUCUUGUACUCUUAGAUGACUAUUCUCACUUUAUAUGGACAUUUCCCAUUCGUGCAAAGUCUGAUGUUCAUGCGUUGUUUGUCAACUUUCGACACUAUGUAUCUACUCAUUUCUCCCUUCCUAUUUGCUUUUUGCAGUGUGAUAAUGGUCGGGAGUUUGAUAACUCUCGCAACCGCGCUUUCUUUCUUGCCCACGGCAUUCUUCUCCGCUUUUCUUGUCCUUACACCUCACCUCGGAACGGCAAGGCCGAGCGCUCUCUUCGUACCAUCAACGAUAUCAUAUGCACCCUCCUCAUUCAAUCUUCCAUGCCCUCCUUCUAUUGGGUCAAAGCACUACGUCAUGCCACUUUUCUCCUCAACAUACGUCCUACCAAGCUAUGUCCCCGCUUCUCCCCCUACGAAUCCCUCUUCCUGGCUUCGCCCGCAUAUCAUGAUCUCAGGGUCUUUGGCUGUCUUUGUUUGCCUAACAUGGCUGCUACGUCCGAAAACAAACUGUCACCAUGA
Molecule: ribosomal RNA, 834 nt
Filed under: Triticum aestivum (bread wheat)
Lineage: Eukaryota; Viridiplantae; Streptophyta; Magnoliopsida; Poales; Poaceae
Description: partial small subunit ribosomal RNA
Source: RNAcentral